Molecule: ribosomal RNA, 41 nt
Filed under: Trichoderma harzianum
Lineage: Eukaryota; Fungi; Ascomycota; Sordariomycetes; Hypocreales; Hypocreaceae
Also listed under: 1 other name
Description: partial 18S ribosomal RNA
Source: RNAcentral
GUCGUAACAAGGUCUCCGUUGGUGAACCAGCGGAGGGAUCA